GGUUGAUCCUGCCAGUAGUCAUAUGCUUGUCUCAAAGAUUAAGCCAUGCAUGUCUAAGUAUAAGCUUUUAUACGGCGAGACUGCGGAUGGCUCAUUAAAUCAGUUAUAGUUUAUUUGAUGGUUCCUUUUUCUUUUUACUACUUGGAUAACCGUAGUAAUUCUAGAGCUAAUACAUGCAUACAAAUCUCGACUGGGAGUCAUAUCUCUGGAAGGGAUGUAUUUAUUAGAUAAAAAACCGAUGCAGGGUGGCUUGCUGCCCUGGACCCAACGGUGAUUCAUAAUAACUCAACGAA
Molecule: ribosomal RNA, 293 nt
Filed under: uncultured eukaryote
Lineage: Eukaryota
Description: partial 18S ribosomal RNA
Rfam family: Eukaryotic small subunit ribosomal RNA
Source: RNAcentral